Molecule: long non-coding RNA, 998 nt
Filed under: Fragaria vesca (wild strawberry)
Lineage: Eukaryota; Viridiplantae; Streptophyta; Magnoliopsida; Rosales; Rosaceae
Description: long non-coding RNA (FVES_LNC004789)
Source: RNAcentral
AGGAAGUGAGACUGAUGCAACAAUCACCUUGAGCAGAAGAUUAAGAACCAAAUAACAGUUUAAAGAUUAAUGAUAAUUGCAAGCAAAUGAAUGUAUCUUACCUAAUGUUUUUCUUUCAGAGUUUGAAAGGGUCUGGUAGGCUGGUAGCUAUGAUAGGGUACCCUAAUAUCAGUCUCAUCUUCUCCGCUUCCGCUCCUUCAAUUUGCGGCUCCAGUCGCUCUGCAUGUUCUGAUUCUGCUGGCUUCACAGCCCUAUUUGUAUUCACAUCGUCUAUGGGAGAUGUGUGGGAGAUAGGUCGGUGAAUCCGGAUCUACAAACAACAACAAUCCCAAAAUCAUCAACAAACCGAAUCCAAACUCAAAAUCAAAAAACUAUGUGAAGCAGGAGGCCGUACUAGAGAUCGAGGAGGCAGAGUUCUUGAACCGAGCAUCAAGGCAGAGGAGAUGGUUGAGACAGGAAAAGCAGUGAAGGAGCGUGGAUGCUCUGAGCUUGAGAGGGUUAGAGAGAAUUAGAGACGGCAGAGGAGAGGCCGAGAGUGGAAGGGCCGCCUGUGUUUACGAGAGAGAGAGAGUGUGUUGUGCGGCGGUGCGGCCAAAGAAGAAAUAAAGAGGAAAUGAGGAAGGCUGCUAGGGUUUAGACCUUUAUUUAAUUUAAUUGGAGGAAAAGUUAAAAUUUAAAGGAGGAAGGGGGAAAUUUAAAUUUUGGGUGAAAUUAAAGGGCGGGUCUAAGUGGAAAUUUGUUUGUAGAUGAAGGGGCUAGGUAAACGUUUACAAAAUGUCAUGGUUUAUUUGUCAUUGACAAUGUUUAUCAAAUGUCAUUCAAACAUUUUCCAUAACGUUUUUCUAAUCGUCAUGGUUCCUUUAUCAUUCACGACAUUUUUUGAAACGUCAUAGAAAUAUUUUUCAUGACGUUUGAAAAUUGUCAUAAGAAAGAUGACAGGUGAAAAACAUAAUUAAAUAGUGAGACAUACAAUGACAUUUGACAAACAUCAUAAAUUU